UGGACAGAUUAUUGUAUUCGACUGUAUUCACGGCGUGAAAUAGUGAAUCAAUUAACAUAUUAGACUCCC
Molecule: microRNA precursor, 69 nt
Organism: Nicotiana attenuata
Lineage: Eukaryota; Viridiplantae; Streptophyta; Magnoliopsida; Solanales; Solanaceae
Rfam family: MIR6152 microRNA precursor family
Source: Rfam